RNAcentral lists this long non-coding RNA (2632 nucleotides) under Homo sapiens (human). Its description in RNAcentral is "HSALNT0056520". Lineage: Eukaryota; Metazoa; Chordata; Mammalia; Primates; Hominidae. The record is from RNAcentral.
UUCCCCACGCACAUGGAACUGACUGCCAGGCUCAUAUGCCAACUGUGUAGCAACAGACCAACACAGUGAGACAGUGAGGUUUGCAACAGAGAAUGCAAGACCACUGAGAGAGGAGAUGGGAGAAAUCCUCAAGCCUCAAAUCUAUCUCCUCAAGGGGUUCUUGUGUAAUUUCAUUAAAUAUGGCAGCAGUGGUUACCUACAGGAAGAGAAGAAAUCCAAGUAAUGAGCCCAAUACUCCUCCUCAGGAGUGGAACAGGCUGUGGAAAAGAGGAAGGACCAAUAAAUGAGACUGGCAAGGUGGCUCAUGAGUAAAGGAGAAAACCAGAAAAAUGGAAAUCAAUUAAGAAAAUGUUUGGAGGAUGAAAACAUCAGUUAAAUCUGUGUAAUACUGAGAAUAAAUAGGGUAACUAUAGAAUUAACAUCUGAAUCAGGAUGCUUUGAGAAUAAGACUAUACAUGGUUGAUUACAUGAGAAAAAAGUAUAAACCAAGACUCUCCAAGGACAACAGGAUUGAGAAGUUUCUCCAAAAUUUUGGAGACAGUAAAACUAGGCAAAUUCUUAGAAGAAUUAUUCUAAAAUGAUAAAUUUUAAAAAAAAAUGAAGUUCUGCUGCUGGAGAAGUAAGGAAAGAGAAUAUUUGUUUAAGAUGAGGGAACUAACUGUAUGUUUGCAUAAUGGUGGAUGAUCCAGUAGAGAAAGAAAAUUGAUGAGGCAAAAAGAGAGGAGAGAAUUGUGAGAGCAAAGUCAUUGAAUGACUUAAAAAAGAAGGGAUAAUAGUGAAAGAAUAGAAUCCACGCAACUGAGAUUAUGAAAAAGUUGUAUUUAUUAGUAAAAACAAAGUUAAGGUUAUGACUAUUAAAAUGUAUGUCUGAUGUAAAGUGGAAGACAAGGUCAUUUACUAACGGGGGUUGAGAAGCCAACGUGUUGAAAAGAUCAUAUCUGUAUAUGUUGAAAAUGCCAAGAUUUAAGACUAGAAUAGCAUUAGAGAAAUAAAUAAAAUAAACUGAAGUUUAUAAUAUCAGCAAUAUGAAUGGUGGUGGGUGAUAUGGUAAGAUGAUUCAAAAAGAAGAAUUUUAGGGAAGGAGAAAGAAUGAUUUAAAACCGGCAAAGGAGAACAAGAAAGAUAUCUAUGCCACUUCCACGCCCAGUGGCAUGAAAAAGGGAGAAAAAUCAGUGGCCACUUAAGACUGCAGAGAAACAAUGUUCUUAAUAGAUUGUCAUGUUUUCAUCAGAGCAAAAAGGUAAAUGUGUUGUUGAAAACAAAGAUCAAACACAGGGUGGAAACUGAUGAUAAUGAUUUGUGUGAAGGCAAUAGGGAGUGUGGUAGAUGUUGUGAAGGUUAGAAGAAAAAACAAAAGUGAGGGGACAGAUACAGAAUCUUAUACCAAUUAGAGUAUAAGAAAAGAAGAGCGAACUGGAAGUCUAAGAAUUUUUGUUAUGGAUGAUGUAAAUAAGAAUAAAGGAUAUAAUGUAUUUAGUGGUAAAUUGAAAAAUGUCCCAAAGAUACAUCAAGCCCAAAUCUCCAGCAUCUGUAAGUAUUGAUUUAUAGGGCAAAAGAAGUGACUAAGAGAAGAAUUUUUAGAUGAGGAGAUUAUUCUGGAUUAUAUGGAUGGGCACUAAAUGUAAUGAUGUGGGUCCUUUUAGAAAAAUGUGGAAGGAGAUUCCAUACUGACCCACAUAGAAAAGAAUUCGCUGUGUAGACAGAGGCAGAAAUUGGAAUGAUGCGACCGUAUGCCAGGCAAUGCUAGUAGCCAUCCAAAUCUGGAAGACGCAAAGAAUGGAUUCUCCUUUUCAGCCUCUAGAAGGAGGGAAUGAGGCUGUGCCGACACCUUAAUUUCAUCUCAGUGAUACUCCUUUCAAACUUAAGGCCUCCAGAACUGUGAGAGAAUAAAUUUCUACUGUGUUAAGCUUCCUCGUUUGGAGUAAUUUGUUAUCAAAGCCACAGGAAAGAAAGACAUUAGGGAUUCAAAUUGGAUAUUUGUGGCAACAUUAUGAAUCUUUGAUUCUGGCUGUCAACUGGGAUCCUUGGAUUUCUCCAGGUUGGAUGUCCUGGGGCUGGAGGUCAAGGAGACCGUCCAGAAGCUAUUGGGAUUUUGAAGCUAUUUCCAGAUAAUCAGAUAUACCAGUGUCAAGAUGAUGGGAGACAAAGAAAGAAUGAGGACCUCUCCCAAAUUAGAGACUAUCAAGCACUAGCAACUCAGGAGAGUACCCAGAAGGCCCUCUUUAAAGUGAGUGAUGAAGGAGAAAAUGAUCAACUGUUCCUUACUGAGACUGUAUCAUCAACCAUGAAGACAUUGACAGGCAAUGUGCCUCUUGACCCCCAUGCAAGAGUGCUUCUGAUCUCUGCAGCCUGACAGAUAAGAGAGAAAAAAAGAUCAACAUCAAAACUUCUGAAUUGUAUUUAUCGGAUUUAUAAAACAUUCAGCAUCAGUAAACCUGAGCUUCAGCAAUGGGAGGAGGAGACACUAGGGAUGUGCCACCACAGAGAAAAGACCACAGAAAGAUGAAGCAAGAAGGUGGAAAUCUGCAAGCCAUGGAGAGAGAACUCAAGAGAAACCAAGCUGCUGACACCUUGGUCUUAGCCUUCCAAUUUCUAGAACUGAGAGAAAAUAAAUUUAUAUUAUUUAAGCCAC